UCGUUCUCCAGAUUUUUUUAAUCCCCUCCACUUGUUCUCGUUCUCAGAACUUCGUCCUCUCCGUUCUUCACACGUUCCUUACUCUGUCCCCUUCGUUCUUCACGCGUUCCUUUCUCCAUUCAUCCCCAUCACCAUCCAACGCUGCAGGCAGUAACAGAACUCGUCCCCAACGCUUGCUAACGAUCGAUUUACAAUGGACACGAUCGAUCUACAACGAAGCUGCCACUAGUAGAACAACCGGAAACGAACAAACGUUCCCUCUAUUUGAGUCAUCGUUAAAGUCCCGUUUAACUAUCUAUAUCUCUCAUUCAUACAUAAUCAAUAUUUUGUAUCAAUUUUUGUCAAAUAAUUAAAAAAAAUUUGUUAUAGGAAUAAUGAUAAUUCUGUAAAAAAAAUAAUUAAUUACGUGAUUUGUGAUAAUUUUUGUGUGAUAAGUUAAUUUGGGAAAUAUUGUAUUUGUGAUAAUUUUUGACUUUGAAAUGCACUGAAUUUUUGCAUUUUUCCUUAUGGCCGCUUUUUUUUUUGUUGUUGUUGUUGAAAUUGAACAAAUGCAGGGUUGGAAAUGCAGAUAUUGGUUGUGUGAUAAACAACUAAAAGAGAUGCGGGAUGCAGAGAGAGAGAGAAGACAGGAAACUGAUUGUUACAUGCAGAUAUUGGCUCACGUUAAAUGCACAGCUAAAAGAGAUACGAGAGAUGCACAGAGAGAGAGAAGACAAGAAACUGAUUGUUAAAUGCAAAUUUUUUUUUAAAUUUAUUGUUAAAUGCAGAUAUUGGCUCACGCGCCAUGUUAAAUUUAUUUUUUUAAAUUAAUUGUGGGUCCAUGACUGAAUUUACG
This 835-nucleotide long non-coding RNA is filed under the name Citrus sinensis (sweet orange). RNAcentral's name for it is "long non-coding RNA (CSIN_LNC003262)". Lineage: Eukaryota; Viridiplantae; Streptophyta; Magnoliopsida; Sapindales; Rutaceae. The record is from RNAcentral.